CUCUGCGAGUACCUGAAUGCUUACUCUGGGAGGAAGUACCAGGCAGACCGGCUUCAGGGGGUCAGUCCUUCCCGUUCUGUGCUAGAUUGCUGUAUAAGGACCUCACAGCAACUCUUCCCACUGACGUCACCGUGACAUGUCAAGGAGUGGAAGCAUUAUCCACUUCGUGGGAGGAACAACGAGCAUCUCAUGAAACUCUGUUCUGUACGAAGCCCUUGCAUCAAGUGUUUGCCUCAUUUGCAAGAAAAGGAGAAAAGUUGGAUAUGAGUCUGGUCUCCUAAUAGAUCGUUUUUACUGCACUGGGAGCACAUCAGAGAAAUAAAUCCCCCCUCCCCUGCCAGGUGAAAGGAAAUAUUGCACUUUCUGUUCUCAUGACUAAGGGGACAGGAGUUCCAGAAGAACCUUUCAAGAUGAUCAGGAACACCAGGAUGAGGGCCAUCUCACCUCACUCGGACCACAUGGAGACUUCCCCUUUAGAAUGGGCGCAAAACAUUUGCCAGCCACGUCUUGCCCCACUGAGCCCUGUCUGAAGCGGAGCUUCCCUGCCUGUGCUCCCUCCACAGUCCUGGAAAGCCCAGCAGCAAAGGCAGCUUCGUCCCAGCUCUGCCACCCUCCUGCUCACUGUGCUCCCUCCACAGUCCCGGAAAGCCCAGCGGCAAAGGCAGCUUCGUCCCAGCUCUGCCACCCUCCUGCUCACAGUGGUCAGGGCCCCUCAGGGGCAAGGACAGCAGGGAUUGGAACGAGGGCUCUGGAAGGACUGUUCAGCCCUAUGCCUAAGACCCCUAUGCUGGGGACGCUACAGGCACACAGAGGAAUAGCAGGGCCACCCUCAGAGCUCACACAGCCACGAACAAAUGAAGGCUGAGGAGAUUUCUAAACCUAAAGUCCAUAAGUGUGCACUUCAGUCCAGGAAGGUUGGGACUUCCUUCAGUUUCAAAAAAUAAA
Molecule: small RNA, 945 nt
Filed under: Pongo abelii (Sumatran orangutan)
Lineage: Eukaryota; Metazoa; Chordata; Mammalia; Primates; Hominidae
Description: processed transcript
Source: RNAcentral